GGGGGCGUGGCGGAAUUGGCAUACGCAGGGGACUUAAAAUCCCUCGCCGCAAGGCUUGUGGGUUCGAACCCCACCGCCCCUACCA
This 85-nucleotide transfer RNA is filed under the name Olsenella uli. RNAcentral's name for it is "tRNA-Leu". It matches the Rfam family "tRNA". Rfam says of the family: Transfer RNA (tRNA) molecules are approximately 80 nucleotides in length. Their secondary structure includes four short double-helical elements and three loops (D, anti-codon, and T loops). The record is from RNAcentral. Lineage: Bacteria; Bacillati; Actinomycetota; Coriobacteriia; Coriobacteriales; Atopobiaceae. RNAcentral also lists the same sequence under 2 other names.